This 377-nucleotide ribosomal RNA is filed under the name uncultured Sphingobacteriales bacterium. Its description in RNAcentral is "bacterial SSU rRNA". It matches the Rfam family "Bacterial small subunit ribosomal RNA", at positions 1002 to 1382 of the family's 1533-position model. Lineage: Bacteria; Pseudomonadati; Bacteroidota; Sphingobacteriia; Sphingobacteriales. The record is from RNAcentral.
CGAAAGAUGGUUUUCUUCGGACACUCUUCAAGGUGCUGCAUGGUUGUCGUCAGCUCGUGCCGUGAGGUGUCGGGUUAAGUCCCAUAACGAGCGCAACCCUUACCGUUAGUUACCAUCAGGUUAAGCUGGGGACUCUAGCGGGACUGCCACCGUAAGGUGAGAGGAAGGUGGGGAUGACGUCAAAUCAGCACGGCCCUUAUGUCCAGGGCUACACACGUGUUACAAUGGCCGGUACAAAGGGCAGCUACUUCGCGAGAAGAUGCUAAUCUCGAAAGCCGGUCUCAGUUCGGAUCGAAGUCUGCAACCCGACUUCGUGAAGCUGGAUUCGCUAGUAAUCGCGCAUCAGCCAUGGCGCGGUGAAUACGUUCCCGGGCCUU